GACGAACGCUGGCGGCGUGCUUAACACAUGCAAGUCGAACGGUAAGGCCCUUCGGGGUACACGAGUGGCGAACGGGUGAGUAACACGUGGGUGAUCUGCCCUGCACUUCGGGAUAAGCCUGGGAAACUGGGUCUAAUACCGGAUAGGACCACUGCCUGCAAGGGUGGUGGUGGAAAGCUUUUGCGGUGUGGGAUGGGCCCGCGGCCUAUCAGCUUGGUGGUGGGGUGAUGGCCUACCAAGGCGACGACGGGUAGCCGGCCUGGGAGGGUGACCGGCCACACUGGGACUGAGAUACGGCCCAGUCUCCUACGGGAGGCAGCAGUGGGGAAUAUUGCACAAUGGGCGCAAGCCUGAUGCAGCGACGCCGCGUGAGGGAUGACGGCCUUCGGGUUGUAAACCUCUUUCAGCACCGACGAAGCGCAAGUGACGGUAGGUGCAGAAGAAGGACCGGCCAACUACGUGCCAGCAGCCGCGGUAA
RNAcentral lists this ribosomal RNA (478 nucleotides) under uncultured bacterium. Its description in RNAcentral is "partial 16S ribosomal RNA". It matches the Rfam family "Bacterial small subunit ribosomal RNA", at positions 28 to 523 of the family's 1533-position model. The record is from RNAcentral.